Molecule: ribosomal RNA, 507 nt
Filed under: uncultured bacterium
Lineage: Bacteria
Description: partial 16S ribosomal RNA
Rfam family: Bacterial small subunit ribosomal RNA
Source: RNAcentral
ACGAACGCUGGCGGCGUGCCUAAUACAUGCAAGUCGAGCGCUUCUUUCCUCCCGAGUGCUUGCACUCAAUUGGAAAGAGGAGUGGCGGACGGGUGAGUAACACGUGGGUAACCUACCCAUCAGAGGGGGAUAACACUUGGAAACAGGUGCUAAUACCGCAUAACAGUUUAUGCCGCAUGGCAUAAGAGUGAAAGGCGCUUUCGGGUGUCGCUGAUGGAUGGACCCGCGGUGCAUUAGCUAGUUGGUGAGGUAACGGCUCACCAAGGCCACGAUGCAUAGCCGACCUGAGAGGGUGAUCGGCCACACUGGGACUGAGACACGGCCCAGACUCCUACGGGAGGCAGCAGUAGGGAAUCUUCGGCAAUGGACGAAAGUCUGACCGAGCAACGCCGCGUGAGUGAAGAAGGUUUUCGGAUCGUAAAACUCUGUUGUUAGAGAAGAACAAGGACGUUAGUAACUGAACGUCCCCUGACGGUAUCUAACCAGAAAGCCACGGCUAACUACGUG